RNAcentral lists this ribosomal RNA (375 nucleotides) under uncultured Fusibacter sp. Its description in RNAcentral is "bacterial SSU rRNA". It matches the Rfam family "Bacterial small subunit ribosomal RNA", at positions 1008 to 1382 of the family's 1533-position model. Lineage: Bacteria; Bacillati; Bacillota; Clostridia; Eubacteriales; Fusibacteraceae. The record is from RNAcentral.
GGGAGUACUUCUUCGGACAAUAGUACAAGGUGCUGCAUGGUUGUCGUCAGCUCGUGCCGUGAGGUGUCGGGUUAAGUCCCAUAACGAGCGCAACCCCUAUCAUUAGUUGCCAUCAGGUCAAGCUGGGGACUCUAAUGAAACUGCCUACGCAAGUAGUGAGGAAGGUGGGGAGUGACGUCAAAUCAUCAUGCCCCUUAUGAUCUGGGCUACACACGUGCUACAAUGGCCGGUACAACGGGCAGCGAAGGAGCGAUCCGGAGCGAAUCCUAAAAAGCCGGUCCCAGUUCGGAUUGCAGGCUGAAACUCGCCUACAUGAAGUUGGAGUUGCUAGUAAUCGCGAAUCAGAAUGUCGCGGUGAAUGCGUUCCCGGGUCUU